Molecule: ribosomal RNA, 165 nt
Filed under: uncultured bacterium
Lineage: Bacteria
Description: partial 16S rRNA
Rfam family: Bacterial small subunit ribosomal RNA
Source: RNAcentral
UAGGGAAUCUUCCACAAUGGGCGAAAGCCUGAUGGAGCAACGCCGCGUGUGUGAUGAAGGGUUUCGGCUCGUUAGAACACUGUUGUAAGAGAAGAAUGACAUUGAGAGUAACUGUUCAAUGUGUGACGGUAUCUUACCAGAAAGGAACGGCUAAAUACGUACCAG